UGAAUACGAGACGCUACGGCGUCGAAGCAGUCUAGGUCAGACUUCCAAGAAAAGCUCGCAAUGUCAUAAACAAAUAAUGCCUGUACCAUAACCGACACAGGUGGGUAGGUAGAGUAUACUAAGGGGCGCGAGAUAACUCUCUCUAAGGAACUCGGCAAAAUGACUCCGUAACUUCGGGAGAAGGAGUGCCUUAUUUAUAAGGUUGCAAUAACAAGAUCCAAGCAACUGUUUAUCAAAAACACAGGUCUCCGCUAAGUCGUAAGACGAUGUAUGGGGGCUGACGCCUGCCCAGUGCCAGAAGGUUAAAGAAGUUGGUUAGCAUUCGCGAAGCUGAUAACUGAAGCCCUGGUGAACGGCGGCCGUAACUAUAACGGUCCUAAGGUAGCGAAAUUCCUUGUCGGGUAAGUUCCGACCCGCACGAAAGGCGUAAUGAUUUGGAUACUGUCUCGGAGAGGGGCUCGGUGAAAUAGACUUGUCUGUGAAGAUGCGGACUACCUGCACCUGGACAGAAAGACCCUAUGAAGCUUUACUGUAACUUGAAAUUGAAAUUGGACUUUAUUUGCGCAGCAUAGGUGGGAGGCGUUGAGAGUAUUCUUGCGGGAAUAUUGGAGCCAUCAGUGAGAUACCACUCUUGUAAUGUUAGAUUUCUAACUUUGUAUCAUUAUCUGGUCAGAGAACAGUUUCAGGCGGGCAGUUUGACUGGGGCGGUCGCCUCCCAAACGGUAACGGAGGCGUACAAAGGUUUCCUCUGAACGGGUAGAAAUCGUAUCUAGAGUGUAAAGGCAUAAGGAAGCUUGACUGUGAGACCUACAAGUCGAGCAGGGACGAAAGUCGGUCUUAGUGAUCUGACGGUGCUGAGUGGAAAGGCCGUCACUCAACGGAUAAAAGUUACUCUAGGAUAACAGGCUGAUCUCCCCCAAGAGUUCACAUCGACGGGGAGGUUUGGCACCUCGAUGUCGGCUCAUCGCAUCCUGGGGCGGUAGUACGUCCCAAGGGUUGGGCUGUUCGCCCAUGAAAGCGGUACGCGAGCUGGGUUCAGAACGUCGUGAGACAGUUCGGUCCAUAUCCGGUGUAGGCGUUAGAAUAUUGAGAGGAGCCUUCUUUAGUACGAGAGGACCGAGAAGGACAUACCUCUGGUGUACCAGUUAUCGUGCCAACGGUAAACGCUGGGUAGCUAUGUAUGGAGAGGAUAACCGCUGAAAGCAUCUAAGUGGGAAGCCCACCUCAAGAUAAGUAUUCUCAU
RNAcentral lists this ribosomal RNA (1243 nucleotides) under metagenome. RNAcentral's name for it is "bacterial LSU rRNA". It matches the Rfam family "Bacterial large subunit ribosomal RNA", at positions 1564 to 2817 of the family's 2925-position model. The record is from RNAcentral.